This 467-nucleotide ribosomal RNA is filed under the name uncultured bacterium. Its description in RNAcentral is "partial 16S ribosomal RNA". It matches the Rfam family "Bacterial small subunit ribosomal RNA", at positions 28 to 507 of the family's 1533-position model. The record is from RNAcentral.
GAUGAACGCUGGCGGCGUGCUUAACACAUGCAAGUCGAACGGUGAAGCAGAGCUUGCUCUGUGGAUCAGUGGCGAACGGGUGAGUAACACGUGAGCAACCUGCCCCUGACUCUGGGAUAAGCGCUGGAAACGGCGUCUAAUACUGGAUAUGAGCUGCGACCGCAUGGUCAGCAGUUGGAAAGAUUUUUCGGUCUGGGAUGGGCUCACGGCCUAUCAGCUUGUUGGUGAGGUAAUGGCUCACCAAGGCGUCGACGGGUAGCCGGCCAGGGAGGGUGACCGGCCACACUGGGACUGGGACAAGGCCCAGACUCCUACGGGAGGCAACAGUGGGGAAUAUUGCACAAUGGGCGAAAGCCUGAUGCAGCAACGCCGCGUGAGGGAUGACGGCCUUCGGGUUGUAAACCUCUUUUGGCAGGGAAGGAGCGAAAGUGACGGUACCUGCAUAAAAAGCGCCGGGUAACUACGUG